AUUGAACGCUGGCGGCAGGCCUAACACAUGCAGGUCGAACGGUAACAGGAAACAGCUUGCUGUUUCGCUGACGAGUGGCGGACGGGUGAGUAAUGUCUGGGAAACUGCCUGAUGGAGGGGGAUAACUACUGGAAACGGUAGCUAAUACCGCAUAACGUCGCAAGACCAAAGAGGGGGACCCUCGGGCCUCUUGCCAUCGGAUGUGCCCAGAUGGGAUUAGCUUGUUGGUGGGGUAACGGCUCACCAAGGCGACGAUCCCUAGCUGGUCUGAGAGGAUGACCAGCCACACUGGAACUGAGACACGGUCCAGACUCCUACGGGAGGCAGCAGUGGGGAAUAUUGCACAAUGGGCGCAAGCCUGAUGCAGCCAUGCCGCGUGUAUGAAGAAGGCCUUCGGGUUGUAAAGUACUUUCAGCGGGGAGGAAGGGAGUAAAGUUAAUACCUUUGCUCAUUGACGUUACCCGCAGAAGAAGCACCGGCUAACUCCGUG
RNAcentral lists this ribosomal RNA (490 nucleotides) under uncultured bacterium. RNAcentral describes it as "partial 16S ribosomal RNA". It matches the Rfam family "Bacterial small subunit ribosomal RNA", at positions 30 to 507 of the family's 1533-position model. The record is from RNAcentral.